Molecule: transfer RNA, 72 nt
Filed under: Heterocephalus glaber (naked mole-rat)
Lineage: Eukaryota; Metazoa; Chordata; Mammalia; Rodentia; Bathyergidae
Rfam family: tRNA
About the family: Transfer RNA (tRNA) molecules are approximately 80 nucleotides in length. Their secondary structure includes four short double-helical elements and three loops (D, anti-codon, and T loops).
Source: Rfam by way of RNAcentral
UGGGGUGUAGAUCAGUGGUAGAGCACAUGCCUUGCAUACAUGAGGUUCCAGGUUCAGUCCCCGGCACCUCCA